Pelobates cultripes (western spadefoot toad) is the source of this 446-nucleotide non-coding RNA. The record is from the annotation of a GenBank genome assembly. Lineage: Eukaryota; Metazoa; Chordata; Amphibia; Anura; Pelobatidae.
GUGUAUAAAUCUUUUGCCAAUCUUUCUCAAUUCCUAGUUUUUUAAAAAAGUUUUUUGAAAAAACAAAACAAAACACAUUGACUGCAAGAUUGUUCUUGCGUAUAGAGAUUACUAACCUACUCAAGGAUUCUUUGUUUGUAAAUCUCAGAAAAAUGAAAGCUGAAGUAUCUCUGCCAGACAUAGAACAUUUGACCUUGAAGUUUGAACAUAUUGCUUAUCUGGUUAUUUAAAAAAAAAAAAACCUGUAAUGUCACAGGAAAGACACUACAUUCUGCAAUAAAGUUGCUUGCAAACUAAGAUUCAGUCAGGACAUAAGGAAUGUUUUACACUUCCCUUAUACUAAAAUGGGGGCCAUAUUGACCUCAUAGGCUUAUUUAUUUAUUUUAACUAUUUAAUGUGGCGGUUGGCUAGCAAGUGCAGCCAAGGUGUUUAGUGUACAAUUCUAG